Sorex fumeus (smoky shrew) is the source of this 207-nucleotide small nucleolar RNA. RefSeq annotates it as small nucleolar RNA U3. NCBI's taxonomy places the organism in Eukaryota, Metazoa, Chordata, Mammalia, Eulipotyphla, Soricidae. The transcript has a single exon. The record is from RefSeq and is a predicted model, not a curated record.
AGGACUUUAUUUUUCAGGAAUCAUUUUUAUAUUUCAUUGCUAGAGAAGUUUAUCUGACCAUGUAGAACACCAGAACCAUGAGUAGGAACCAAAGCAUCCUCUCCUAAGCAUGAAGCCGUUUCUAGGUGUUGUUUUUGCAGAUACCAUUUACUACUGAUGCUCAUUCUUCCUUUGAAGAAUGAGAGGGAAGGAUGGAAUCUGAGUGGU